GGGUCAGUAGGUUGGUCGUGCCACCGGUACGUACUGGUCUCACUGAUUCCUCCUUCCUGAAGAACCGUAAUGCCAUUAAUUUGGUGUUGCGGGGAAACAGGACUGCUACUUUGAAAAAAUUAGAGUGUUUAGAGCAAGCUAACGCUUGAAUACAUUAGCAUGGAAUAAUGAAAUAGGACGAUCGAUCCUAUUUUGUUGGUUUCUAGGAUUGACGUA
Molecule: ribosomal RNA, 216 nt
Filed under: Glomeromycotina sp.
Lineage: Eukaryota; Fungi; Glomeromycota
Description: partial small subunit ribosomal RNA
Rfam family: Eukaryotic small subunit ribosomal RNA (bases 40-216)
Source: RNAcentral